UAAUACGUAGGGUGCGAGCGUUAAUCGGAAUUACUGGGCGUAAAGUGUGCGCAGGCGGCGCCGCAAGUCGAGUGUGAAAGCCCCGGGCUUAACUUGGGAAUUGCGCUCGAAACUAUGGUGCUGGAGUGUGGCAGAGGAAGGUGGAAUUCCACGUGUAGCGGUGAAAUGCGUAGAGAUGUGGAGGAACACCGAUGGCGAAGGCAGCCUUCUGGGCCAACACUGACGCUCAUGCACGAAAGCGUGGGGAGCAAACAGGAUUAGAUACCCUGGUAGUCCACGCCCUAAACGAUGAUGACUAGUUGUUGGGGGUUUGACACUCUCAGUAACGAAGCUAACGCGUGAAGUCGACCGCCUGGGGAGUACGGCCGCAAGGUUA
This 376-nucleotide ribosomal RNA is filed under the name uncultured bacterium. Its description in RNAcentral is "bacterial SSU rRNA". It matches the Rfam family "Bacterial small subunit ribosomal RNA", at positions 521 to 896 of the family's 1533-position model. The record is from RNAcentral.